This 515-nucleotide ribosomal RNA is filed under the name uncultured bacterium. RNAcentral's name for it is "partial 16S ribosomal RNA". It matches the Rfam family "Bacterial small subunit ribosomal RNA", at positions 28 to 523 of the family's 1533-position model. The record is from RNAcentral.
GAUGAACGCUGGCGGCGUGCCUAAUACAUGCAAGUCGAGCGAAUGGAUUGAGAGCUUGCUCUUAUGAAGUUAGCGGCGGACGGGUGAGUAACACGUGGGUAACCUGCCCAUAAGCCUGGGAUAACUCCGGGAAACCGGGGCUAAUACCGGCUAACAUUUUGAGCCGCAUGGUUCGAAAUUGAAAGGCGGCUUCGCAUGUCACGUAUGGACGGACCGGCGUCGCAUUAGCUAGUUGGUGAGGUAACGGCUCACCAAGGCAACGAUGCGUAGCCGACCUGAGAGGGUGAUCGGCCACACUGGGACUGAGACACGGCCCAGACUCCUACGGUAGGCAGCAGUAGGGAAUCUUCCGCAAUGGACGAAAGUCUGACGGAGCAACGCCGCGUGAGUGAUGAAGGCUUUCGGGUCGUAAAACUCUGUUGUUAGGGAAGAACAAGUGCUAGUUGAAUAAGCUGGCACCUUGACGGUACCUAACCAGAAAGCCACGGCUAACUACGUGCCAGCAGCCGCAGUAA